Molecule: ribosomal RNA, 269 nt
Filed under: uncultured Sphingobacteriales bacterium
Lineage: Bacteria; Pseudomonadati; Bacteroidota; Sphingobacteriia; Sphingobacteriales
Description: partial 16S ribosomal RNA
Rfam family: Bacterial small subunit ribosomal RNA
Source: RNAcentral
UGUGCCAGCCGCCGCGGUAAUACGGAGGGUGCGAGCGUUGUCCGGAUUUAUUGGGUUUAAAGGGUGCGUAGGCGGCCUGAUAAGUCCGGGGUGAAAGCCCGUUGCUCAACAACGGAACUGCCCUGGAUACUGUCAGGCUUGAGUACAGACGAGGUUGGCGGAAUGGACCGAGUAGCGGUGAAAUGCAUAGAUACGGUCCAGAACCCCGAUUGCGAAGGCAGCUGACUAGGCUGUUACUGACGCUGAGGCACGACAGCGUGGGGAGCGAA